This 467-nucleotide ribosomal RNA is filed under the name uncultured bacterium. RNAcentral describes it as "partial 16S ribosomal RNA". It matches the Rfam family "Bacterial small subunit ribosomal RNA", at positions 28 to 506 of the family's 1533-position model. The record is from RNAcentral.
GACGAACGCUGGCGGCGUGCUUAACACAUGCAAGUCGAACGGAAAGGCCCUGCUUUUGUGGGGUGCUCGAGUGGCGAACGGGUGAGUAACACGUGAGUAACCUGCCCUUGACUUUGGGAUAACUUCAGGAAACUGGGGCUAAUACCGGAUAGGAGCUCCUGCUGCAUGGUGGGGGUUGGAAAGUUUCGGCGGUUGGGGAUGGACUCGCGGCUUAUCAGCUUGUUGGUGGGGUAGUGGCUUACCAAGGCUUUGACGGGUAGCCGGCCUGAGAGGGUGACCGGCCACAGUGGGACUGAGAUACGGCCCGGACGCCUACGGGAGGCAGCAGUGGAGAAUAUUGCACAAUGGGCGGAAGCCUGAUGCAGCAACGCCGCGUGCGGGAUGACGGCCUUCGGGUAGUAAACCGCUUUCGCCUGUGACGAAGCGUGAGUGACGGUAAUGGGUAAAGAAGCACCGGCUAACUACGU